Molecule: ribosomal RNA, 164 nt
Filed under: Astilboides tabularis
Lineage: Eukaryota; Viridiplantae; Streptophyta; Magnoliopsida; Saxifragales; Saxifragaceae
Also listed under: 24 other names
Description: 5.8S ribosomal RNA
Rfam family: 5.8S ribosomal RNA
About the family: 5.8S ribosomal RNA (5.8S rRNA) is a component of the large subunit of the eukaryotic ribosome. It is transcribed by RNA polymerase I as part of the 45S precursor that also contains 18S and 28S rRNA.
Source: RNAcentral
UUAAUGACUCUCGGCAACGGAUAUCUCGGCUCUCGCAUCGAUGAAGAACGUAGCGAAAUGCGAUACUUGGUGUGAAUUGCAGAAUCCCGUGAACCAUCGAGUUUUUGAACGCAAGUUGCGCCCGAAGCCAUUUGGUUGAGGGCACGUCUGCCUGGGCGUCACGU